GACAGAGGGUGCAAACGUUGCUCGGAAUUACUGGGCGUAAAGCGCGUGUAGGCGGGCCGGAAAGUCGGGCGUGAAAAUCCCUGGGCUCAACCCAGGAACUGCACUCGAAACUUCCAGUCUAGAGUGGUGGAGAAGGGAAGUGGAAUUCCUGGUGUAGAGGUGAAAUUCGUAGAUAUCAGGAGGAACACCAGUGGCGAAGGCGGCUUCCUGGACACCAACUGACGCUGAGACGCGGAAAGCGUGGGGGAGCAAAACAAGG
This 259-nucleotide ribosomal RNA is filed under the name uncultured bacterium. RNAcentral's name for it is "partial 16S ribosomal RNA". It matches the Rfam family "Bacterial small subunit ribosomal RNA", at positions 524 to 777 of the family's 1533-position model. The record is from RNAcentral.